RNAcentral lists this ribosomal RNA (484 nucleotides) under uncultured bacterium. RNAcentral describes it as "partial 16S ribosomal RNA". It matches the Rfam family "Bacterial small subunit ribosomal RNA", at positions 30 to 507 of the family's 1533-position model. The record is from RNAcentral.
AUUGAACGCUGGCGGCAUGCUUUACACAUGCAAGUCGAACGGCAGCGCGGGCUUCGGCCUGGCGGCGAGUGGCGAACGGGUGAGUAAUACAUCGGAACGUGCCCAGUAGUGGGGGAUAGCUCGGCGAAAGCCGGACUAAUACCGCAUACGACCUGAGGGUGAAAGCGGGGGAUCUUCGGACCUCGCGCUAUUGGAUCGGCCGAUGGCAGAUUAGCUAGUUGGUGGGGUAAAGGCCUACCAAGGCGACGAUCUGUAGCUGGUCUGAGAGGACGACCAGCCACACUGGAACUGAGACACGGCCCAGACUCCUACGGGAGGCAGCAGUGGGGAAUUUUGGACAAUGGGCGAAAGCCUGAUCCAGCAAUGCCGCGUGUGUGAUGAAGGCCUUCGGGUUGUAAAGCACUUUUGGCGGGAACGAAAAGGACUGUGCCAAUACCACGGUUCGAUGACGUUACCCGCAGAAUAAGCACCGGCUAACUACGUG